GAUGAACGCUGGCGGCGUGCCUAAUACAUGCAAGUCGAGCGAACGGACGAGAAGCUUGCUUCUCUGAUGUUAGCGGCGGACGGGUGAGUAACACGUGGAUAACCUACCUAUAAGACUGGGAUAACUUCGGGAAACCGGAGCUAAUACCGGAUAAUAUUUUGAACCGCAUGGUUCAAAAGUGAAAGACGGUCUUGCUGUCACUUAUAGAUGGAUCCGCGCUGCAUUAGCUAGUUGGUAAGGUAACGGCUUACCAAGGCAACGAUGCAUAGCCGACCUGAGAGGGUGAUCGGCCACACUGGAACUGAGACACGGUCCAGACUCCUACGGGAGGCAGCAGUAGGGAAUCUUCCGCAAUGGGCGAAAGCCUGACGGAGCAACGCCGCGUGAGUGAUGAAGGUCUUCGGAUCGUAAAACUCUGUUAUUAGGGAAGAACAUAUGUGUAAGUAACUGUGCACAUCUUGACGGUACCUAAUCAGAAAGCCACGGCUAACUACGUGCCAGCAGCCGCGGUAAUACGUAGGUGGCAAGCGUUAUCCGGAAUUAUUGGGCGUAAAGCGCGCGUAGGCGGUUUUUUAAGUCUGAUGCGAAAGCCCACGGCUCAUCCGUGGAGGGUCAUUGGAAACUGGAAAACUUGAGUGCAGAAGAGGAAAGUGGAAUUCCAUGUGUAGCGGUGAAAUGCGCAGAGAUAUGGAGGAACACCAGUGGCGAAGGCGACUUUCUGGUCUGUAACUGACGCUGAUGUGCGAAAGCGUGGGGAUCAAACAGGAUUAGAUACCCUGGUAGUCCACGCCGUAAACGAUGAGUGCUAAGUGUUAGGGGGUUUCCGCCCCUUAGUGCUGCAGCUAACGCAUUAAGCACUCCGCCUGGGGAGUACGACCGCAAGGUUGAAACUCAAAGGAAUUGACGGGGACCCGCACAAGCGGUGGAGCAUGUGGUUUAAUUCGAAGCAACGCGAAGAACCUUACCAAAUCUUGACAUCCUUUGACAACUCUAGAGAUAGAGCCUUCCCCUUCGGGGGACAAAGUGACAGGUGGUGCAUGGUUGUCGUCAGCUCGUGUCGUGAGAUGUUGGGUUAAGUCCCGCAACGAGCGCAACCCUUAAGCUUAGUUGCCAUCAUUAAGUUGGGCACUCUAAGUUGACUGCCGGUGACAAACCGGAGGAAGGUGGGGAUGACGUCAAAUCAUCAUGCCCCUUAUGAUUUGGGCUACACACGUGCUACAAUGGACAAUACAAAGGGCAGCGAAACCGCGAGGUCAAGCAAAUCCCAUAAAGUUGUUCUCAGUUCGGAUUGUAGUCUGCAACUCGACUACAUGAAGCUGGAAUCGCUAGUAAUCGUAGAUCAGCAUGCUACGGUGAAUACGUUCCCGGGUCU
RNAcentral lists this ribosomal RNA (1372 nucleotides) under uncultured bacterium. RNAcentral describes it as "bacterial SSU rRNA". It matches the Rfam family "Bacterial small subunit ribosomal RNA", at positions 28 to 1381 of the family's 1533-position model. The record is from RNAcentral.